UAGAGUUUGAUCCUGGCUCAGAUUGAACGCUGGCGGCAUGCCUUACACAUGCAAGUCGAACGGUAACAGGUCUUCGGACGCUGACGAGUGGCGAACGGGUGAGUAAUACAUCGGAACGUGCCCAGUCGUGGGGGAUAACUACUCGAAAGAGUAGCUAAUACCGCAUACGAUCUGAGGAUGAAAGCGGGGGACCUUCGGGCCUCGCGCGAUUGGAGCGGCCGAUGGCAGAUUAGGUAGUUGGUGGGAUAAAAGCUUACCAAGCCGACGAUCUGUAGCUGGUCUGAGAGGACGACCAGCCACACUGGGACUGAGACACGGCCCAGACUCCUACGGGAGGCAGCAGUGGGGAAUUUUGGACAAUGGGCGAAAGCCUGAUCCAGCAAUGCCGCGUGCAGGAUGAAGGCCUUCGGGUUGUAAACUGCUUUUGUACGGAACGAAAAAGCUCCUUCUAAUACAGGGGGCCCAUGACGGUACCGUAAGAAUAAGCACCGGCUAACUACGUGCCAGCAGCCGCGGUAAUACGUAGGGUGCGAGCGUUAAUCGGAAUUACUGGGCGUAAAGCGUGCGCAGGCGGGUAUGUAGGACAGAUGUG
RNAcentral lists this ribosomal RNA (592 nucleotides) under uncultured bacterium. RNAcentral's name for it is "bacterial SSU rRNA". It matches the Rfam family "Bacterial small subunit ribosomal RNA", at positions 1 to 596 of the family's 1533-position model. The record is from RNAcentral.